AGAACGAACGCUGGCGGCAGGCUUAACACAUGCAAGUCGAACGCUCCGCAAGGAGAGUGGCAGACGGGUGAGUAACACGUGGGAACAUACCCUUUGGUUCGGAACAACUCAGGGAAACUUGAGCUAAUACCGGAUAAGCCCUACGGGGGAAAGAUUUAUCGCCGAAGGAUUGGCCCGCGUCUGAUUAGCUAGUUGGUGAGGUAAUGGCUCACCAAGGCGACGAUCAGUAGCUGGUCUGAGAGGAUGAUCAGCCACAUUGGGACUGAGACACGGCCCAAACUCCUACGGGAGGCAGCAGUGGGGAAUAUUGGACAAUGGGUGCAAGCCUGAUCCAGCCAUGCCGCGUGAGUGAUGAAGGCCUUAGGGUUGUAAAGCUCUUUACCCGGGAAGAUAAUGACUGUACCGGGAGAAUAAGCCCGGCUAACUUCGUGCCAGCAGCCGC
RNAcentral lists this ribosomal RNA (442 nucleotides) under uncultured bacterium. RNAcentral's name for it is "SSU rRNA". It matches the Rfam family "Bacterial small subunit ribosomal RNA", at positions 26 to 518 of the family's 1533-position model. The record is from RNAcentral.